AGAGUAAAAUAGUACGUGAAAUUGUUGAAAGGGAAACGAUUGAAGUCAGUCGUACCGACGGAAAAUCAGCUCUUCGAGUGCGGACUUUGUGGACGUGCGUGAGCUUUAACGGCCUCGCUGUUUGUAACGUUUGUGCUUUUUGGGUGUACUUUUUCGUAUGGUAGGCCAACAUCAGUUUUUGAUCGCUAUAAAAUGACCGGCGGAAUGUAGCUUCGGUCUCGGCUGAAGUGUUAUAGCCUCUGGUAGAUGUGACGUUUGGGAUUGAGGAUUGCAACGGAUACCUCUCGGGGCUACCUGCCUGGCCUCUGAUGAUUGCUUUGGUGCCGAAAGCUUGCUUACGGUCAUUUAAGUUUGACGGUCAAAAGGUUAGAACGUGAUUACAUUCGUUAAGGAUGUUGGCGUAAUGGCUUUAAACGACC
RNAcentral lists this ribosomal RNA (419 nucleotides) under Dominikia iranica. Its description in RNAcentral is "partial large subunit ribosomal RNA". Lineage: Eukaryota; Fungi; Glomeromycota; Glomeromycetes; Glomerales; Glomeraceae. The record is from RNAcentral.